UACGGGGGGGGCUAGCGUUGUCCGGAAUUAUUGGGCGUAAAGGGCGCGUAGGCGGAAUUGUAAGUCAGUGGUUAAAGUUCGGGACUUAACUCCGAGUCGGCCUCUGAGACUACAAUUCUUGAGUGCGGAAGAGGAAAGCGGAAUUCCCGGUGUAGCGGUGAAAUGCGUAGAUAUCGGGAAGAACACCAGUAGCGAAGGCGGCUUUCUGGUCCGCAACUGACGCUGAGGCGCGAAAGCGUGGGUAGCAAACAGG
RNAcentral lists this ribosomal RNA (253 nucleotides) under uncultured bacterium. RNAcentral's name for it is "partial 16S ribosomal RNA". It matches the Rfam family "Bacterial small subunit ribosomal RNA", at positions 524 to 776 of the family's 1533-position model. The record is from RNAcentral.